CAAGCGGUGGAGCAUGUGGUUUAAUUCGAUGCAACGCGAAGAACCUUACCUGGUCUUGACAUCCACAGAAUCUUGCAGAGAUGCGAGAGUGCCUUCGGGAACUGUGAGACAGGUGCUGCAUGGCUGUCGUCAGCUCGUGUUGUGAAAUGUUGGGUUAAGUCCCGCAACGAGCGCAACCCUUAUCCUUUGUUGCCAUUGGUUCGGCCGGGAACUCAAAGGAGACUGCCGUUGAUAAAGCGGAGGAAGGUGGGGACGACGUCAAGUCAUCAUGGCCCUUACGACCAGGGCUACACACGUGCUACAAUGGCGUAUACAAAGGGAGGCGACCUCGCGAGAGCAAGCGGACCUCAUAAAGUACGUCUAAGUCCGGAUUGGAGUCUGCAACUCGACUCCAUGAAGUCGGAAUCGCUAGUAAUCGUGAAUCAGAAUGUCACGGUGAAUACGUUCCCGGGCCUUGUACACACC
Molecule: ribosomal RNA, 465 nt
Filed under: uncultured bacterium
Lineage: Bacteria
Description: bacterial SSU rRNA
Rfam family: Bacterial small subunit ribosomal RNA
Source: RNAcentral